RNAcentral lists this ribosomal RNA (464 nucleotides) under uncultured bacterium. Its description in RNAcentral is "bacterial SSU rRNA". It matches the Rfam family "Bacterial small subunit ribosomal RNA", at positions 330 to 793 of the family's 1533-position model. The record is from RNAcentral.
ACCAGACUCCUACGGGAGGCAGCAGUGGGGAAUAUUGCACAAUGGGGGAAACCCUGAUGCAGCGACGCCGCGUGAGUGAAGAAGUAUUUCGGUAUGUAAAGCUCUAUCAGCAGGGAAGAAAUAGCGACCUUUGGGUCGCCAGACGGUACCUGAUUAAGAAGCCCCGGCUAACUACGUGCCAGCAGCCGCGGUAAUACGUAGGGGGCAAGCGUUAUCCGGAUUUACUGGGUGUAAAGGGAGCGUAGACGGCAGCGCAAGUCUGAAGUGAAAUGCCGGGGCUUAACCCCGGAACUGCUUUGGAAACUGCCAUGCUAGAGUGCUGGAGGGGUAAGCGGAAUUCCUAGUGUAGCGGUGAAAUGCGUAGAUAUCGGGAGGAACACCGGUGGCGAAGGCGGCUUACUGGACUGUACCUGACGCUGAGGCGCGAAAGCGUGGGUAGCGAACGGGAUUAGAUACCCCGGUAU